This 398-nucleotide ribosomal RNA is filed under the name uncultured Aquificales bacterium. RNAcentral describes it as "bacterial SSU rRNA". It matches the Rfam family "Bacterial small subunit ribosomal RNA", at positions 511 to 913 of the family's 1533-position model. The record is from RNAcentral. Lineage: Bacteria; Pseudomonadati; Aquificota; Aquificia; Aquificales.
GCAGCCGCGGUAAUACGUAGGUCCCGAGCGUUGCGCGAUGUUACUGGGCGUAAAGCGUCCGUAGCCGGUUUCGUAAGCGGAUUGUCAAAGCCCGAAGCUCAACUUCGGCAAGGCAUUCCGAACUGCGUUACUUGAGUCCUGUUCAGGUAGGCGGAGUUCCCGGUGUAGCGGUGAAAUGCGUAGAUAUCGGGAGGAACACCAGUGGCGAAGGCGGCCUACUGGGACGGUACUGACGGUCAUGGACGAAAGCUGGGGGAGCAAACCGGAUUAGAUACCCGGGUAGUCCCAGCCGUAAACGAUGGAUGUUAGGUGUAGUGAUAACUUCGCUGCACCCCAGCUAACGCGUUAAACAUCCCGCCUGGGGAGUCGGGCGCAAGCCUGAAACUCAAAGGAAUUGG